Molecule: ribosomal RNA, 372 nt
Filed under: uncultured organism
Description: bacterial SSU rRNA
Rfam family: Bacterial small subunit ribosomal RNA
Source: RNAcentral
CGUAGGUGGCAAGCGUUGUCCGGAUUUACUGGGCGUAAAGAGCGCGCAGGCGGUCGAUUAAGUUGAGUGUGAAAGCCCCCGGCUCAACUGGGGAGGGUCACUUGAUACUGGUCGACUCGAAGGCAGGAGAGGGAAGUGGAAUUCCCGGUGUAGUGGUGAAAUGCGUAGAUAUCGGGAGGAACACCAGUGGCGAAGGCGACUUCCUGGCCUGUUCUUGACGCUGAGGCGCGAAAGCUAGGGGAGCAAACGGGAUUAGAUACCCCGGUAGUCCUAGCCGUAAACGAUGGACACUAGGUGUUGGUGGUAUCAACCCCGCCAGUGCCGUAGCUAACGCAUUAAGUGUCCCGCCUGGGGAGUACGGCCGCAAGGCUA